RNAcentral lists this ribosomal RNA (273 nucleotides) under uncultured Staphylococcus sp. Its description in RNAcentral is "partial 16S ribosomal RNA". It matches the Rfam family "Bacterial small subunit ribosomal RNA", at positions 89 to 354 of the family's 1533-position model. The record is from RNAcentral. Lineage: Bacteria; Bacillati; Bacillota; Bacilli; Caryophanales; Staphylococcaceae.
ACGUUAGCGGCGGACGGGUGAGUAACACGUGGGUAACCUACCUAUAAGACUGGGAUAACUUCGGGAAACCGGAGCUAAUACCGGAUAAUAUUUCGAACCGCAUGGUUCGAUAGUGAAAGGUGGUUUUGCUAUCACUUAUAGAUGGACCCGCGCCGUAUUAGCUAGUUGGUAAGGUAACGGCUUACCAAGGCGACGAUACGUAGCCGACCUGAGAGGGUGAUCGGCCACACUGGAACUGAGACACGGUCCAGACUCCUAUGGGAGGCAGCAGAG